GAUGAAGAACGUAGCGAAAUGCGAUAAGUAAUGUGAAUUGCAGAAUUCAGUGAAUCAUCGAAUCUUUGAACGCACAUUGCGCCCAUUAGCAUUCUAGUGGACAUGCCUGUUCGAGCGUCAUUUCAACCCUUAAGCCCUGUUGCUUAGCGUUGGGAGCCUACAGUACUGUAGCUCCCCAAAGUUAGUGGCGGAGUCGGUUUCACACUCUAGACGUAGUAAUUUUUUCUCGUCUGUAGUUGAGCCGGUCCCCUGCCGUAAAACACCCAAUUUAUCAAGGUUGACCUCGGAUCAGGUAGGAAUACCCGCUGAACUUAAGCAUAUCAAUAAGCGGAGGA
Molecule: unclassified non-coding RNA, 335 nt
Filed under: soil metagenome
Description: partial contains 5.8S ribosomal RNA, internal transcribed spacer 2, and large subunit ribosomal RNA
Rfam family: 5.8S ribosomal RNA (bases 1-120)
Source: RNAcentral